Molecule: long non-coding RNA, 855 nt
Filed under: Callithrix jacchus (white-tufted-ear marmoset)
Lineage: Eukaryota; Metazoa; Chordata; Mammalia; Primates; Cebidae
Description: lncRNA (ENSCJAG00000061248.2)
Source: RNAcentral
AUUGAGACCAUCCUGAGCAACAUGGUGAAACCCUAUCUCUACUAAAAGUACAAAAAAUUUGCCGGGCGUGGUGGUGCGUGCCUGUUGUCUCAGCUACUCAGGGGACUGAGGCAGGAGAAUUGCUUAAAACCGGAAAACGGAAGUUGCAGUGAGCUGGGAUCGCGCCACUGCAUUCCAGCCUGGUGACAGAGCCAGACUCUGUCUCAAAGAAAAACAAACAAACAAAAAAACAAUGACGAAACACAGUAAGUUCACAAGAUGGGGUUUCACUAUGUUGACCAGGAUGGCCUCAAACUCCUGUCCUCAGGUGAUCCACCUGCCUUUGCCUCCUGAAGUGCUGGGAUUACAGGCACGACCCACAGCACCCAGCCAGAAGAGAUACUUAUGCAAAGAAAGAUAUUAUUCACAAAAGACCGAUUCUUAUGGAUUCUGGAGGGACAUGAAUGGAGCUGGAAGAUGUUAUUCUCAGCAAAGUAACACAGGAGAAGAAAACCAAACACUGCAUGUUCUCACUUAUAAGUGGAACCUGAAUGAUGAGAACACAUGGACACGGGGAGGAACACUCUCCUGGUAAGGGAAGAUUGCCUCAACUGAGCGCGUGUACAACUCCAGUGAACACACUGUGCAUGCAACCCUACCAAGUUCCAGCAGGCCACUCUGUGUAGGGACAGCCUACCCCAAUGGAACAAUCGAGAGAAAAAGAACACAACAUCCCUGGAAGCAUGCCAAUGGAUAAAACCCCAAGUUAAAGGUCAAACAGUGCAUUUGAAUAUCUCAAGUCGCCUGUGUGGCCCUCUUCCAAGUGCAUUUUACUUCCUUUUGGUCCUGCUCUAAUACUUUUUAAUAAAAGUUUAU